GACGAACGCUGGCGGCGCGCUUAACACAUGCAAGUCGAACGGAAAGGCCUGCUUUCCCUUGUGGAUUGCGGGUACUCGAGUGGCGAACGGGUGAGUAACACGUGAGUGAUCUGCCCCCAACUUGGGUAUAAGCCUGGGAAACUGGGUCUAAUUCCCGAUAGGACUGCAGGGUGGUGCCUGUGGUGGAACACGAUUUUCUAGUGGUUGGGGAUGAGCUCGCGGCCUAUCAGCUUGUUGGUGGGGUAAUGGCCUACCAAGGCGGCGACGGGUAGCCGGCCUGGGAGGGUGGACGGGCACAUUGGGACUGGGAUACGGCCCAGACUGCUACGGGAGGCAGCAGUGGGGAAUAUUGCACAAUGGGCGGAAGCCUGAUGCAGCGACGCCGCGUGGGGGAUGACGGCCUUCGGGUUGUAAACUCCUUUCGACCGCGAGGAAGCCACCUGGUUGGAAGGGUGGUGACGGUAGUGGUAGAAGAAGCACCGGCUAACUACGUG
Molecule: ribosomal RNA, 494 nt
Filed under: uncultured bacterium
Lineage: Bacteria
Description: partial 16S ribosomal RNA
Rfam family: Bacterial small subunit ribosomal RNA
Source: RNAcentral